Molecule: ribosomal RNA, 497 nt
Filed under: uncultured bacterium
Lineage: Bacteria
Description: partial 16S ribosomal RNA
Rfam family: Bacterial small subunit ribosomal RNA
Source: RNAcentral
GAUGAACGCUGGCGGCGUGCCUAAUACAUGCAAGUCGAGCGAACAGACGAGGAGCUUGCUCCUCUGACGUUAGCGGCGGACGGGUGAGUAACACGUGGAUAACCUACCUAUAAGACUGGGAUAACUUCGGGAAACCGGAGCUAAUACCGGAUAAUAUAUUGAACCGCAUGGUUCAAUAGUGAAAGACGGUUUUGCUGUCACUUAUAGAUGGAUCCGCGCCGCAUUAGCUAGUUGGUAAGGUAACGGCUUACCAAGGCAACGAUGCGUAGCCGACCUGAGAGGGUGAUCGGCCACACUGGAACUGAGACACGGUCCAGACUCCUACGGGAGGCAGCAGUAGGGAAUCUUCCGCAAUGGGCGAAAGCCUGACGGAGCAACGCCGCGUGAGUGAUGAAGGUCUUCGGAUCGUAAAACUCUGUUAUCAGGGAAGAACAAAUGUGUAAGUAACUAUGCACGUCUUGACGGUACCUAAUCAGAAAGCCACGGCUAACUACGUG